This 553-nucleotide ribosomal RNA is filed under the name uncultured eukaryote. Its description in RNAcentral is "bacterial SSU rRNA". It matches the Rfam family "Eukaryotic small subunit ribosomal RNA", at positions 4 to 565 of the family's 1831-position model. The record is from RNAcentral.
CUGGUUGAUCCUGCCAGUAGUCAUAUGCUUGUCCCAAAGACUAAGCCAUGCAUGUCUAAGCAAAAGCCUUAAUACGGUGAAGCCGCGAAUAGCUCAUUACAACAGCCGUAGUUUAUUGGAUCUAAUCCUACUUGGAUACCUGUGGUAAUUCUAGAGCUAAUACACGCAAAAAGCCUGAACCUCUGGGACGGGUGCAUUUAUUAGAACAAAACCAAUCGGCCCUGCCGUCAUUUGGUGAAUCUGAAUAACUCAGCUGAUCGCACGGUCUUGUACCGGCGACAUGUCUUUCAAGUGUCUGCCUUAUCAACUUUCGAUGGUAGUUUAUGUGCCUACCAUGGUUGUAACGGGUAACGGAGAAUAAGGGUUCGACUCCGGAGAGGGAGCCUGAGAAAUGGCUACCACAUCCAAGGAAGGCAGCAGGCGCGCAAAUUACCCACUCUCAGCAUGAGGAGGUAGUGACGAAAAAUAACGAGGUGGGCCUCUACGAGGUUCACCAUCGGAAUGGGUACAAUCCAAACCCUUUAACGAGGAUCUAUUGGAGGGCAAGUCUGGU